RNAcentral lists this ribosomal RNA (167 nucleotides) under Speiropsis scopiformis. RNAcentral describes it as "5.8S ribosomal RNA". The stretch from base 1 to 111 matches the Rfam family "5.8S ribosomal RNA", at positions 44 to 154 of the family's 154-position model. From Rfam's summary of the family: 5.8S ribosomal RNA (5.8S rRNA) is a component of the large subunit of the eukaryotic ribosome. The record is from RNAcentral. Lineage: Eukaryota; Fungi; Ascomycota; Dothideomycetes.
CGCAGCGAAAUGCGAUAAGUAAUGUGAAUUGCAGAAUUCAGUGAAUCAUCGAAUCUUUGAACGCACAUUGCGCCCCUUGGUAUUCCGAGGGGCAUGCCUGUUCGAGCGUCAUUACAACCCUCAAGCUCUGCUUGGUAUUGAGCGUCUCGCCUGAGCAAUCAGGCGCG